UCCUUCGGGAGCAAUUAAAGUGGCGCACGGGUGAGUAACGCGUAGACAAUCUGCCCUUCAGUCUGGGACAACUUUUCGAAAGGAGAGCUAAUACCGGAUAACAAUGCAUGACACAAGUUGUAUAUUUGAAAGCUUUAUGUGCUGAAGGAGGGGUCUGCGUCCCAUUAGCUAGUUGGUAAGGUAAAGGCUUACCAAGGCAACGAUGGGUAGCGGGUUUGAGAGGACGAUCCGCCACACUGGAACUGAGACACGGUCCAGACUCCUACGGGAGGCAGCAGUGGGGAAUAUUGCACAAUGGAGGCAACUCUGAUGCAGCAAUGUCGCGUGAGUGAAGAAGGCCCUUGGGUCGUAAAGCUCUUUUAUGGGGGAAGAUGAUGACGGUACCCCAAGAAUAAGCACCGGCUAACUAUGUGCCAGCAGCCGCGGUAAUACAUAGGGUGCGAGCGUUGUUCGGAAUUACUGGGCGUAAAGGGCGCGCAGGCGGAAUAGUAAGUCGGAGGUGAAAGCCCGGGGCUCAACCCCGGAGGGUCUUUCGAAACUGCUAAUCUAGAGAGGGUCAGGGGCCGGCAGAAUUCCUGGUGUAGAGGUGAAAUUCGUAGAUAUCAGGAGGAAUACCGGUGGCGAAGGCGGCCGGCUGGGGCCACUCUGACGCUGAGGCGCGAAAGCGUGGGGAGCAAACAGGAUUAGAUACCCUGGUAGUCCACGCCGUAAACGAUGAGCACUGGACGUCCGGAGGGUUCGNCCCUUCUGGG
Molecule: ribosomal RNA, 752 nt
Filed under: uncultured SAR324 cluster bacterium
Lineage: Bacteria; Deltaproteobacteria
Description: SSU rRNA
Rfam family: Bacterial small subunit ribosomal RNA
Source: RNAcentral